CCCACCUACUCUAUGCCCCUCUUCUACAAUGGAUGAACUGCUGGAGGUGCAGCCCACGUACUGGCAAGCAAAUCAUCCUUGGUUUUGAGGAGGACUACUGCAACAGAGAUAAAAAGGAUUUCCCAUGAGUGGAAGCCUUCUCUGUUGGGAUACCAACAGGUACAGGAAAUCAGUAUGAGGGCUUCAGAGGCUUCAGCUUCACCAAAAAGCAGAAUGUCUCUUUUUUUCUCCACUGCCAGAAAAAGAAGUGGAGA
This 254-nucleotide long non-coding RNA is filed under the name Numida meleagris (helmeted guineafowl). RNAcentral's name for it is "lncRNA (ENSNMEG00000019172.1)". The record is from RNAcentral. Lineage: Eukaryota; Metazoa; Chordata; Aves; Galliformes; Numididae.